RNAcentral lists this ribosomal RNA (1346 nucleotides) under metagenome. RNAcentral describes it as "bacterial LSU rRNA". It matches the Rfam family "Bacterial large subunit ribosomal RNA", at positions 1564 to 2925 of the family's 2925-position model. The record is from RNAcentral.
UGAGUACGAGCUGCUACGGCAGCGAAGUGGGUGAUGUCAAGCUUCCAAGAAAAGCCCUAUACCCGUUAAGGCAUGACGGCCUGUACCCGAAACCGACACAGGUGGGGUGGUAGAGAAUACCGAGGGGCGCGAGAUAACUCUCUCUAAGGAACUCGGCAAAAUGGCCCCGUAACUUCGGGAGAAGGGGUGCCACCGCAAGGUGGUCGCAGUGAAGAGGCCCAGGCGACUGUUUACCAAAAACACAGGUCUCCGCUAAGUCGCAAGACGAUGUAUGGGGGCUGACGCCUGCCCAGUGCCGGAAGGUUAAGGAAGCUGGUCAGCGCAAGCGAAGCUAGCGACUGAAGCCCCGGUGAACGGCGGCCGUAACUAUAACGGUCCUAAGGUAGCGAAAUUCCUUGUCGAGUAAGUUCCGACCCGCACGAAAGGCGUAACGAUCUGGGCGCUGUCUCGGAGAGAGGCUCGGCGAAAUAGAAUUGUCUGUGAAGAUGCGGACUACGUGCACCCGGACAGAAAGACCCUAUGAAGCUUUACUGUAGCUUGGUAUUGUGCCCGGGCUCUGAAUGCGCAGGAUAGGUGGGAGGCUUUGGUCCAUUGCUUGUGGGUAAUGGUGAGCCAACGGUGAGAUACCACUCUUUCAGAGCUAGGGUUCUAACCCUCACCCGUUAUCCGGGGAGGGGACAGUAUCAGGUGGGCAGUUUGACUGGGGCGGUCGCCUCCUAAAAGGUAACGGAGGCGCGCAAAGGUUUGCUCAGGCUGGUUGGAAAUCAGCCGACGAGUGUAAAAGCAGAAGCAAGCUUGACUGUGAGACCAACAAGUCGAACAGGGACGAAAGUCGGCUUUAGUGAUCCGACGGUUCUGAGUGGAAGGGCCGUCGCUCAACGGAUAAAAGUUACUCUAGGAUAACAGGCUGAUCUCCCCCAAGAGUUCACAUCGACGGGGAGGUUUGGCACCUCGAUGUCGGCUCAUCGCAACCUGGGGCUGAAGUCGGUCCCAAGGGUUGGGCUGUUCGCCCAUUAAAGCGGUACGCGAGCUGGGUUCAGAACGUCGUGAGACAGUUCGGUCCAUAUCCGGUGCAUGCGUAAGAACAUUGACAGGAGUUCUCCCUAUUACGAGAGGACCGGGAGGAACGCACCUCUGGUGUACCAGUUAUCGUGCCAACGGUAAACGCUGGGUAGCCAUGUGCGGAGAGGAUAACCGCUGAAAGCAUCUAAGUGGGAAGCCCACCUGAAGAUGAGUGUUCUCAUGGCUUAAGCCAGUAAGGUCACGGGAAGAACACCCGUUGAUAGGCUCUACGUGGAAGCGCAGCAAUGCGUGAAGCGGAGGAGUACUAAUAGACCGAGGGCUUG